This is a small nuclear RNA of Fukomys damarensis (Damara mole-rat), 106 nucleotides long. The record is from Ensembl. NCBI's taxonomy places the organism in Eukaryota, Metazoa, Chordata, Mammalia, Rodentia, Bathyergidae.
GUGCUCCUUUGGCAGCAUAUAUACUAGAUUUGGAACCAUACAGAGAAGACUAGUAUGGCCCCUGUGUAAGGAUAACAUACAAAUUCGUGAAGCAUUCCACAUUGUU